RNAcentral lists this ribosomal RNA (490 nucleotides) under uncultured bacterium. RNAcentral's name for it is "bacterial SSU rRNA". It matches the Rfam family "Bacterial small subunit ribosomal RNA", at positions 355 to 841 of the family's 1533-position model. The record is from RNAcentral.
UGGGGAAUCUUGCGCAAUGGGCGAAAGCCUGACGCAGCGAUGCCGCGUGAGGGAAGAAGGCCUUCGGGUUGUAAACCUCUUUCAGCAGGGACGAAGCUACUCGGGUUAACAGCCCAGAGGGUGACGGUACCUGUAGAAGAAGCCCCGGCUAACUACGUGCCAGCAGCCGCGGUAAUACGUAGGGGGCAAGCGUUGUCCGGAUUACUGGGCGUAAAGAGCGUGUAGGCGGCCAAGCAGGUCUGUUGUGAAAACUGGAGGCUCAACCUCCAGACGUCGACAGAAACCGCUUGGCUAGAGUCCGGAAGAGGAGAGUGGAAUUCCUGGUGUAGCGGUGAAAUGCGCAGAUAUCAGGAAGAACACCAAAUGGCGAAGGCAGCUCUCUGGGACGGUACUGACGCUGAGACGCGAAAGCGUGGGGAGCGAACAGGAUAGAUACCCUGGUAGUCACGCGUAAACGAUGGGUGCUAGGCGUGGGGGGUGUCGGACUCCC